This 12960-nucleotide long non-coding RNA is filed under the name Triticum aestivum (bread wheat). RNAcentral's name for it is "long non-coding RNA (TAES_LNC015997)". Lineage: Eukaryota; Viridiplantae; Streptophyta; Magnoliopsida; Poales; Poaceae. The record is from RNAcentral.
GCUGCGGUGCUCCGUCCCGUGAGCUAUGUUAUACUGAUUGGUGCUUCUAAAACCGAACCACAUGAAAUCAAAGCAACUGGCGCACUGAAAGCACGGUUGUGGAGUGUGUAUUUCCAACAGAAAUUUUUAGCUUUUCAAAAUUUCCACCAUCUAGAGAGAGACAGAGUAGAGGUCUGUGCUGCCGUAUCCAGAAAUCCAGACCAGAUAUUCCUCACCGUGUAUGCAAUCUGUAAUUUAUACUCCCUCCGUUCCGAAAUAGAUGACUCAACUUUGUACUAACUUUAGUAAAAAAUUAGUAUAAAAUUGGGUCAUCUAUUUUGGAACAGAGGGAGUAUACAGGAAAACGGUUGGUAGAUGAACCCUGAUUGGUCAAAACUGCUCACAAGUUGUGUUUCCUGGAACUCCGGACCGUUCCAGUCUGUACGCUUUGGCCUGAUCUGGAAAACCAUGUGCUGGCAGUGCAGCUCUCUGGACAUGCGCGAGAGAGCUACUGGCUUCUGCAAGGCCGUUGGAGCCAAGCCACGGUAAACUCAGGAUAUAUAUCCGCAGUCGUUGACGUGCUAGUAACACUGGCCGGCUCAUCCUCAGGGAUUCUGAGGUACCAAGAGUGUUUUCUUAGCGUAGGCCCGAGAUUUUGGGAGCGUAGUAACAAAGCGACGUGGACUGCGUCGUAUGCAACAGAAAACGAGCGAUGUGGACUCGGGCGUACGAACAAUCAAUACAGUACAGUACGCUUUUCUUUUCUUCUCUGAGGGAAAUACUACUACAUACAGUACGGCCGUCGCGUCAGUGUCCGACCCUCUGUACUUGCCAGGCCCCGGUCUCUAUUGUUGACUGGCAACGAAUCUAUCGGGGGAAGGGUAACAAAUUCCACGUUCCCGCCGGCCAACUCUCCUGUUGGAAGGUGACAAGCUGCCCGUGACCCACGCCGGCCACUUGACCACAGAUCCAUCGUAUCCCGCGGCAUGUUUCGUUUGUGAGUGCCUAGUGGCUAACUAGUAGUGUGGCGACUAUGCAUGGAGCUUAAGGAAUAAGGAAGAAGAACAUGUCCCCUUAUAAAUAAAAAAGAAAGAAAAGGAAGAACAUGCCACCUACUCCUACAUUGGAAAGUCAUUAUGGGUGAUGCAAGGGUGUCGUCUCUUUGAUUUCAUAUCUGUUUUGAACUUAGAACCAUCUCAAGAGGCGAUGCAAAAAUCAUCAAGAGGCGAUUCGAAAUCAUACAAAAAUGAUUGUGUCUUAAUUUGUGCCACUCGGAGAUACAAGAGGCAACAAUUAUCUCUAACUUUUCCCUUGGACUGAACACACCGCAACCAAGGCUUAAAAUCAUCACAUCUUUCUUGCACUCUCUCGUGUCAAGCAAGUUGCUGACACGCACGAAGGAACGCUGCAUCCCGGCCGUCUAUGGGCUCGAUCCGACGGCUCCCGGAGUCCCGGUGACCCCUCCCCUUCUCAUUUCAAACCGGCCGGCCCACGCCCCGCCGCGCCCGCGCCAAACCCCGCCUUCCUCCUUCCGAUCCGAGCCUCCCGCGCCGAGCCGCGACUCUCACUGACAGCCGGGCUCCCACCACGUUACCCCGCCCGGCCGGUACGAGCUCGGCCGCUCUGAGGCUUCGACCGGGCCCACGUGGCAGCGAGAGAGGAGGCUCGCGGGGCGGCCGCAGCUUCGUGGAAGCUUCCCCCGAACAAUCUCCUCGAGAACGAGUCCCCAUUCGCGACCGAAAUCCGGGCCGCAGAGACAGAAAAAACAAAACAAAUCACCAAGCUCCGCACCAGCACCACAGUGGCGAAGCCGCAACGUACUUGCGCCGGCCUCGCCCGUGGAACCUUCUAGAGCCUUGACGGCUGGAGCGGCAGGUGAGGCGAGUGAUCCCUGAGGUGUUCGAUCGAUCCCGCGGUGAUUUGGUUGUCUGAGUGCUCCUGUGUGUGUGUGUAUCUGCAGGGUUUCUGGUCGUCGUCGUCGGUGUCGGUGUCAUCUCUCCUGCGAGCGCUGCCGCGGACGCGGCGGCUGGCUGGUGUCUGAUUGUCGGGCAUGGCGGUCGGGAGCUCGCCGACGCCGCCGGAGAUCCGCUCGCCGGAGCGGGACAGGCCGGAGGAUGCGGCGGGCGCGGAGGGGGAGGAGGAGGAGGAGUUCGGUGACGCCUUCGAUAUACCCCAUAAGAACGCAUCCCACGACAGCUUGCUCCGAUGGAGGGUACGGGAUCCUUUCUCCCCUCACCCUUUUCCGUCAGACUGUGAUCUAAGCCGGACUCUGCUGGCUCGCAAAAUGCCCAAAAUAUCGCCAUUCUGGUGUUGAUUCCGUCCUGGCUGGAAUCGGGACGUGCUAAUUCUGCGCAGGAAGAAGAGGGGGUAGAAGAGGAAUAAUCAAACACUAAUGUUUUUCGUCUAGUGGAUACACUACACUGAGGUUUACUGACAUGUCAUUGACCCGAUGAUUUACAUAUUACUUUCAUUUUUUGUCCGCGUUUCCUCUAAGUCAAGGCAUUGGAGUCUGUUUGGCGACACUACCUUUUUUACUGCCGUGCACAUGCACAGAGCGGCAGAUAACUUCUCAUAAUAAAACUGAAAACACAACCAAAGUACUGAAACCAGAGGUCUGUCAUUCAUUCAUCCAAACAAUACUGGUUUUUGUGGUAUUCACAGGUUUGGGACAUUACAGAAAGAAGCAAACAGUAACACUUUUACUACAGCUAUAAAAUCACACUUAUACUUCAGCUAACCAGGCACUUUUGCAUAAUAGUUGUGAGUUGGGUUCAUUACAGUUUGCUGUGGCUACAGGUGAAGGACUCUUCGGGGUAGACAAAUAUGAGCCUUACUUAUUAUUUAGUUCUGAUAAAUAUGUCUAUUCUCUCCUUUCAGCAAGCUGCUCUCGUGCUGAAUGCUUCACGUCGCUUUAGAUAUACUCUAGACCUUAAAAAGGAGGAAGAGAAAGAGAUAAUAAGAAGAACGAUCCGAUCACAUGCACAAGUGAUACGGGUAACGUGUCGUUUUGCAGCUUAUGCACCCUAUUUCUCUUUCGGCUGUCUUCUUUUGUUCAUUCUAAUUUUGAAUUCUCCAGGCAGUAUUUCUUUUCAAAGAAGCUGGAGAAAAUGAUCCCAGAGGUACUCAUUCAUACCAUUAACCCAAGUGCUUCUUUUAUGCUAUGUUUAUGGAUGGCACUGACCCAAACGGUAGAAUAACUUUGGUUUUCUACAUUUCCUUCCUAGAUUGCAUCUGUGCUUCUUAGCCACAAUGUACCAAAUGGUGGGGUUAUAUGCAAACAUCAUGAAACAAAACAGUUCCCAAAUUUCAUUGGUAGCUGUAGUCAUUCAUUUCUCUGAUUUGCCUUUUUAAAAUUGAUCUCUACUUCUAAAUGUGCAAUAUUACAGCAAAAUUUCCAGCUCAUUUAUUUCGUACAAUGCAGCCGCUAUCUUUAUUUGUCUUACCAGCCUAUUCUCCACAUUUUCCCUGAUCAUUUUGCUUGUCUUAUUGUUGCCAUUUCAGUUGUAUUUUUCUAAAGGGCAGUCUUUUCACUUUAUACUUGCAAUUAGUCCAUCUAUUGUAUCUGUGCUUAUUUUGCAUACAAUGUAAUUUAUAUUCUUGUGCUAUUUUCAAUGUUCCUCAUCUGGGCAGAAGCUUAUACUGGUAUACAACUUGCAACUGGCUCUCGAAGUUUUCCAAUUGAAUUGGAAAAGCUUAAAACUUUAAACAGAGAUCAUGAUAGUGUUCUUCUUCAGGAAACUAGAGGAGUAAGUUAACACUGAGCUAGAAUUUAUUUAUUUUAACCUCGUCACCUGCUGCUAUUCAUUUGUGUGUAAUGACACUCUUCUUUUCAGGUUAAGGGGCUGUCAGAUUUAUUAAAGAGUAAUUUAGACAUGGGAAUUAAUCCAACUGAGGAUGAAUUGUUACAAAGGAGGGAUGUUUUCGGAGCAAAUACAUAUCCACGCAAGAAAAGAAAAAACAUACUGGUAUAGCUUUUUAAUGUUAUUUCUGUAAGUAAAUUGCACAAGGUCAAUCUUGCAAGUUUCUAGCCACUUGCAAUUUCAGUUUCCUUAUGGGACAUCUGCUCUCUUCAUUAUCUAGUGUCUACAUAUCUCUUCAUCGUUCCUUCUUUAGUGUAUGCUUUUUGUGUGUCCAAGCAGGGUUAAGCGUUCCAGUUACAUAAAAGUUGUAUUUUGGCAUAAGCUCCUCACGAAAUUCGAAGGUCACUAUUGGAAAAUUUAAAGUGCAUCUAUGCUGCAUAUUAGAAAAGUUGAUUACGAAGUAGUCCUAUGAGACUUUCUUUCAGUCCAACAUCAACUCAAUUUCAAUGCUUCAACAUAUUUGGUAUCAAAUUUUAACCAUACUGAAUUUUGGUAUUGCAGCGUUUUAUAUUUGAUGCAUGCAAAGAUUUAACUCUCAUCAUUCUAAUGGUAGCUGCUGCCAUAUCUCUUACGUUGGGCAUGGCCACAGAGGUAUUUUCUACCUCUUCACUAAUUGUUUCCUUAGAAUUAGCCUUUCAUCAUGUCAUCUUCCUUAGCCAUGGUAGUUUUGAACUUGAAUAAUUGUCAUGCUUUAAGGAUAACUAUAACUGCAUUUGUUAUUUUUUUUUCUCUUAUCUAGGGUGUUGAGGAAGGAUGGUAUGAGGGGGGAAGUAUUUUUUUAGCUGUUUUUCUUGUGAUACUUGUCACCGGUAAUUGAUUGAGUUUGCACAUUUCCUAUUAUAUUUGUUUUGUUUUUGUCUUCACCUUUAGCUUGCUGUGAUCUAAUUGUUUUGUUUUUGAUCUAUCUAGCAACCAGUGAUUACAGGCAAUCACUUCAAUUUCAACAUCUGAAUGAGGAGAAACAGAACAUACAAGUAGAGGUGAGUAUGAUCAUGUGUAACUGUAUUUUUGUGCAGCAUUCCCACUUUUGCUUACAUUCCUGAUUUACCAUAUCUUUUAAUUAGGUUCUUAGAGGUGGUAAAAGAUUUCGAACUUCAAUAUUUGAGCUUGUUGUCGGUGAUGUGGUUCCGCUGAAUAUUGGUGACCAAGUAAGAUGGUAUAUUAUUUGUCAACUCUGUUUAUUUUUUCACCCUAGAAUAAUUUGCUUACAUUCAUUAUUUCACAUUUUAGGUUCCUGCUGAUGGUAUCCUGAUAUCUGGCCAUUCUCUUGCAAUAGACGAAUCAAGUAUGACUGGGGAAUCAAAAACUGUGAGUUCCGGUGCAAAACUUCUUUCUUGUGGCGAUUCAAACAUACUUCUUUUUUGCGGCGAGACUCAAACACACCUCUUCGGAUUUUCAUGAUGUCAUAUCAUUUUUUAGGUUCACAAGGAUCAAAAGGCUCCGUUCUUGAUGUCUGGUUGCAAGGUUGCAGAUGGCUAUGGUUCUAUGUUGGUGAGUACCACACUACCACUAUCUUAAGUUUUUUUUUUGCGGGGCACUAUCUUAAGUGUUUAAGCAACAUGUUAGGCUAACUUACUGUUUUCAGUGUCACAAUACAUAGCAUUUUUCUCUCCCUUAUUUGUGCCUUUCCUAUAUUUCGAUUCUUAAUGGUUAGACUUUAUAUAUCAUAAUAUUUAUCCACUUUGCCUAUCAAAUACAAAGGUAACAGGUGUGGGUAUCAACACUGAAUGGGGCCAGUUGAUGGCUAACCUUUCUGAAGAUAAUGGUGAAGAAACCCCAUUGCAGGUUAAUCUCUGUUCGGACUCAUCUAUAUUCUUGCAUGAAUGAAUACUGAUGAGACCCUUUCAACCAUGGAGUAGGUGCGUUUGAAUGGUGUUGCUACUUUUAUUGGCAUGGUGGGUCUGUCAGUAGCUGGUGUUGUACUUGGCGUGCUUGCGAUAAGGUAUUUUGCAUGAUAAUGCAGCACAAACAAAUAUACAUACUCUUUAUAACCACUUACUGAACUACAGAUAUUUUACUGGACAUACCAAGAAUCCGGAUGGGACUGUUCAAUUUCGGGCUGAAACUACUGGUCUCAAACAAGGAUUUAUGGGUGCAAUCAGAAUUUUAACAAUCGCCGUAUGUAUUUUUUGUACAAGUAUACAGCUAAUAUCUUGAACCAUUUUCAUCCUUUGGUGACCUGAUUUUGUGUAAUACUAUCCAUAGGUAACCAUCGUAGUUGUUGCUGUGCCUGAGGGACUUCCACUGGCAGUAACAUUGACGUAUGGAUCUCCUUACUGUGCAAAUUACUUGAAAAUUUCAGUCACAUGACUAUCUAUAUUUUGUGGUUUCAGACUUGCGUAUUCAAUGCGAAAGAUGAUGCGAGACAAGGCGCUGGUAAAAAAACAAUCCUAUUUCUGUAUAAAACAUUCACAUGAUAGGAAACUUUAUCAUCCUUACUUUCUUUAUUUAGGUGAGGCGGCUCUCAUCUUGUGAAACAAUGGGAUCAGCAACUACUAUAUGCAGUGAUAAGACAGGAACUCUCACCUUGAAUAAGGUUUGUAGAAUCAAUCUGGUGCUUGUGCCAUGAAACACCGUUUGAAGAUCUGUCAUGAUGCUAUUCCAAGUCCCAAUACGCUGCCCUGACAAGAGGCCAAUUCUUUCCAUUUACUUUAAGUCUUGGAACAUACCUGUCACUCUGUCAGCAUCGCAGAACCAAAAUUAACACAAAAACAUCACCAAUUUGAUGCCAGGAUCUUUGGGUGUUGAUAAUACAUUUCUUUAUUGUUGUUGGUUACAAGCACAUCUUCUGCUAAUUUUGUCUUUGCUUGUGGCCUUUUAAAGACCAUGUCAUCGUGGUUCGUUUUGUAAUCCUUAUAUUAUUGAUUAUGUAGAUGACAGUUGUGGAGGCACACUUUAUCGGGACAAGGUUGGAUCCUUGUGAUGAUGUUAGGGCAAUCUCAAGCAGUUCAGCGGCACUGCUUAUUGAAGGAAUUGCACAAAACACUACAGGAACUGUAUUUUUGCCAGAGGUAUAUCAACUUUAUUUCUUCCUUCUUUUAAUAUUAUUAGAGGUACCUGAAUUAUCUAUUAAAUUAGAGGUACCUGAAUUAUCUAUUAUAUCAGAGGUACCUGAAUUAUCUAUUAUAUUAGAGGUACAUGCAUUAUCCAUUGUCCAGAAAAGCAAUAACAUACAGGUCACCAAUCUGUAAUGUAUAACCCAGCUAGCCUAGAUUUAACUGAAAAGAUCAGCAAUUUUGAUUAAGUUAUGACUGGUUACAGCCACUUUGUAAAGAUUUGUUAGUUUACUUUUUAUGUAAAACAUGGUGGUCCAUAAUGCUAUUUGAGGAACAUUGGAGAUGGUAAUAGCUCAGUUUUCGCCAUCCGAUCUUUAUUUUUAAUGUUUUUUCAGGAUUUUUUACUUUUAUCAUAGGAGUUCAACUUAGUGUUCUCUUCUGUGCUAAUCGCCUGGGAGUGAGUGAACUUUGCACGUGGUCCUGCUACGUUUGAAAUAUAAGUGGUCAACAGUGGACAACAAGCACCUGGCCUCCACUUGCAGCUAGAAACAUGCACGUUCUGUAGUUUCUCUGCAGUACUCCUAUUCACUUGCUUGUGCAUGUUGAUAAACUGGGAAAGCGUCAGGCAGGAGAUUACUAACUACUUUCUGAAAGUAGCAAGCGGAGAUUGAAUCACAUUUCAAAUGAGAUCGAGUGGAGUCCAGAAUAAUGUAUCAGCUGUCAACACUUUGUCAGUUCCACCAAAUCCAUGAAAAUUAUGCUCACUUGAGGUUCUUAGCAGUGUGGAAAUUGGGUGUUAACAGCUGGUUACCUGUAAAGGCACUGUCCGAGUUAAAGAUAUGAUCUCAUAAAAUUACCCCAAUUUUAUUAUUUCCUGCCAUUAACCAGACAGAAAUCAGAACUGGGCAGAUGCUUGGAGGCAGUCUAGGGAGAAUUCUAUGCUAACUGUCAUCUACAUAUAUCAGUUGCUUCCACAAAAUUUCAUCUGUCUUCUUUUCAAUGUAUAGGAUGGGGGAGCAGCUGAUGUUACAGGUUCACCAACUGAAAAAGCCAUUCUUUCUUGGGGCCUUAAGGUACUACUGAUUUUGCUUCACACAGAGUGUCUCCUUUAAGCUUCUUUUGUUGACUUGGCCUAACGCAGUUGCACCUUGCACAGAUAGGGAUGGAUUUCAACGAUGUUCGGUCAAAAUCUUCAGUUCUUCAUGUAUUUCCAUUUAACUCAGAGAAGAAGCGAGGUGGUGUUGCAGUGCAGGUAGUAAGGCGCAUAUGUAUCUAGAACCAUUGGUACAUCUAAAUUCGUGAAUUAGACGAGUGUAUCCAUGAAGAAUUUAACCACUUUUCAGGCUUAUUUAUAUUUGGGUGCUUCAUUAUUCCAAUCCUUUGUAAUUUACCACAUGUAGUUGGUAAUAUAUGUUUUGGUUAUUAGUGCUUGUGAGUUGUGAGAGUUGACGCUAUCAAGUUUAACAGCUUCAGGACUAUUGGCUCCUGGUAGGCUGAUGUUUGUUUUCCUGCUGGAUAUCUCCCGGGCAUGGCUUAAAGGACGAGCCAUAUUUCUCACUUGAAGCACUCAAAUAGGGUUAUCUACCAGUGGCAAACAGUUUCUCAAACUUGUUUAAGUUUAAUAUUAUACCAACCAGAAGGGUUUUGAGAGUCCCCUUCGUGAUGACCAGUUACUUUUGACGGCACAGAUGGCUGGUAUUGCCAAGUAGUUCUCGAUAUGAGCAUUGGAUGCCAUUGAGCAUUUGUUCUGAUUAUAGCAUCAGGAGAGUGUUCCUUGGACCUUAUGUCUUUUAGUAUGCACAGAUCUAUGAUUUGAAUUACGCAGUGUGUACGUUGUUUUGGUAAAAACUCCUGUUUUCUAUUGUUUCGUAGCCCAGUUUUUUGUUCAUGUUACCUCAAGGGUGUUUGGUUACUAAUUGCAGUCAGAUACCGGGGUCCACAUCCAUUGGAAAGGUGCAGCUGAGUUAGUGCUAUCAUCUUGCAAAAGUUGGCUUUCUCUGGAUGGUUCAGUUCAGCCAAUGGAUGCACAGAAGGUAACUGCCAUGCAUAAUUUGCCACCUCAAUUUCUUAUGCACUCUUACAAUGUUGAAAUGUUUGCAGCGUAAUGUGUACAAGAGAUCAAUUGAAGACAUGGCAAAGAGUUCACUACGAUGUGUUGCUUUUGCAUAUUGUCAAUGUGAUAUUGAAAAAAUUCCGAAGGAAGACAUAGCUGAUUGGAAGUUACCUGAGGAAGAUCUGACUCUGCUUGGUAUUGUGGGCAUAAAGGUUGGUCCUUAUUGUUCGGUAGAUUCACUUUCAGAUUGAUUGUAUCUCUUAAUUUUGAGUUUGACACAAAUAACUAGGGUUGCUUCCCGAUACCAAAAGAUAGCCCUGUGUAUAGUGUCCUAUUCCAUGCUCUAUAGUGCCUGUGCUGGGAACAUAGGGUAUUCAGUUAAUCAAAUAUAUGUUUCACUGAUGCAUCAGCUUGCGGCUAUAUGUAUGCUCAGAUAGACAGAUAGUAUACGGCUGAUCUGAUUCAUCGUCUUAUGAUUUUCACAACCUAUCCAUGCUUUCUGGCUUUUGCUAAAACAUGAAAUAUACCAGUAUGCAUCAUAUUAUCUCUAAAUGAUUCAUCGCCUUUUGUAUGUAUAUGAGGCAUCAUAAUUUGCAAGCAUAAUUUCUUCUGGUUAGUCAUACUGCAUUACUUGAUGACAAUAUCCAUCUAUUACUCCUGCUAUAAAGAGUAUCUUCGCCUGUAGGAUCCAUGUCGCCCAGGAGUGAGGAAUGCUGUACAAUUAUGCAAAAAUGCUGGUGUAAAGGUAUAUCCUACUUGUGUUCUUAUUUUUCUUGUUCUCAUUGGAAAUGUUUCACCUCUAAUCUAUAUUAGUCAUCGACGGAAUGAACUGUGAAGCUAAAUCCUCCAUGGUAUUUCUCAUGUUCUCAAUUAGGUCUAGCCUUUUACUUCUCACAGGAUUGGCUCAUCAUGUUUGUAGCUGGGCAAGGUUUCUAGCCAUUUUCAGUUUCUUUACUUCCUAUGCCAUGAUGCUAUUCAUAUAAUUUAUUUUGUAUUUUGGGACGUUCAAUUGUUUGUGUCCUAUUCAUAAAACAUGACUCUUUGUAAACUUUGACCUUGCUGGUUAGUUUCUCAAUCGUUACAAAACAUGUUAGUUUCUUAAAGUUUUUGUUUUCCUUAAAAUGGAUUUUUUUCGUCAUUUCCCCAUUUUGAAUGUCACUGCUUCUUUUGUUGGCUUUAAUAUUUGUUACAUUUGUACAUGUAGGUGCGCAUGGUCACAGGAGAUAAUAUUGAAACAGCCAAGGCAAUAGCGUUGGAGUGCGGAAUACUAGAUGCAAAUGGUGUUAUUUCAGAGCCAUUUGUAAUAGAGGGAAAAGCGUUCCGCGAGAUGUCUGAAAUUGCAAGAGGAGAGAUUGCUGACAAGAUAACUGUAACUCUCUCCAUUCUUAAGUCCCUUGUGUAUAUAUGUUAUACUGUGUUGAAGUAAUAAACUUUAUCUGUACUAAGCACAAUGAUGUUUAUGACUUACUUGAAGUCAUUUGAAGUGGUGAAUCCUUUUGUAUAACUUCUAGUUUUUCUAUCCUUCUCAGGAAGUCAUUUUCUUUGAAGUUUCUGACAUUCUUCUGAUUGUUCGACAACUAAUUAACUUUGAAUUUCAGGUCAUGGGAAGAUCAUCUCCAAAUGACAAACUUUUGCUUGUCCAAGCUUUGAAAAGGAAAGGCCAUGUUGUGGCUGUCACUGGUGAUGGCACAAAUGAUGCCCCUGCAUUGCAUGAGGUGUCAUGUGUAACUCAUGAUAAGCUAUUAGUGGUCAUUUAUCUUGAUAUUGCAGAAGCUUCUGAUUUAUUCUUAUAUCUAAUGCUUGAUCUGUUGUAUAGGCUGAUAUAGGUCUUGCAAUGGGCAUGUCAGGGACAGAAGUUGCUAAAGAAAGCUCUGACAUUAUAAUCUUGGAUGAUGACUUCACAUCUGUUGUGAAGGUUAGUGUUUUCUACGUUUUUUUUUGGAAGAAAUCCUUCUUAUGAAGGAUAACUGUUCUCAGCAAUCAUGAUGGAGUUUUUUUAUGGGAUGUCCCCGAAGGGACAUCAUGAUGGACUUUUUCUUCUGUAACAAACUGGCAUGGUGCUUUGACGGCAAUAUACCAUCAAAGUAACCUGUGAGUGAUAUCAUAUUUUGUGCUAAUUGCUAUCAGCUUCAUUGCCAAAAGAGAGAAAAAAUGCUAUUGGUUGACAGUGUGUAGAGAGUACAGUUCAUGGAGAAGCACAUAUAAGCCCGUACAUGUUCUGAUAUGCUGCCUUAUGCUGCUGAAUAGCCAUGGCAUGUUAAGACUUAAACAUAGUGUAUAUGCAAAAUCCUUUGUAGAUUGUGCUUAGGCACAAAUUCUGGUCGCUCAACCUUCUUGUGAUUUUGUGCACUUACACCUCUUAUCUCUUUUUCUUUUUUAGGUUGUUCGCUGGGGACGCUCUGUCUAUGCAAAUAUUCAGAAAUUCAUCCAGUUCCAGCUUACUGUUAACGUUGCCGCACUUGUGAUUAAUGUUAUUGCAGCUGUGUCAUCUGGUGACGUGCCUCUAAAUGCUGUUGAGGUUGGGACCUCUCCUUUUUUCUUCCAACUAUUUUUCAAUCUCUAAUAUUUUCAUUACUGCCAUUGCCACUUCUGUUGUGCAUGAAAGAUGUGCCGAAAUCUUAAUUGUAAGUACAAACACUUGUAUGCCAAGGUUGGCUCUCAUGCACUAUGUUCCUAAUUUGCAGCUUCUCUGGGUGAACCUUAUCAUGGAUACACUGGGAGCUCUUGCUUUAGCAACUGAACCACCAACAGACAACCUUAUGAAGAGACAGCCUGUUGGUCGAAGGCAUGUAAUAUCACCCUACCUGUCUAGAGUAUCGCAUUAUAUGUUUCAUGAAAUGAGUUGAACUGUUUUCUACAUAAUUUACAAUAUUUUCCCUGUUUUCUACUUCAGGGAGCCACUUGUGACCAAUAUUAUGUGGAGAAACUUGUUUGUCCAGGUUGAAUUUGCGUGACUCAUUUGUAUUCUUAGAGCAUACAAUUGUUGUUUCAUAUUCUUCUGUUGUUCUGAUUUACAUGGAAUUUUUGCAGGCCAUUUACCAAAUAGCAAUCCUUCUUAUCUUUAAUUUCUCUGGAAAAAAGAUUCUACGGCUGCAGAAUGAAAGUCCAGAUAACGCCGAGAAAAUGAAGAACACAUUUAUCUUCAAUACAUUUGUAUUUUGCCAGGUUGGUUGGAUAUUUUCUGAUUCAACAACUGUAACAGGGUGUUACUUAAAUUCUAUGGUGCUCUUUAGAUAGAUUAAUAUUGGUAUUUGAUUUAUCUAAUAAAUGUUCAUGUUAAGGGUAGUAUAGUGGCAGUGGUUGUCAUCUUAAAUAAACUGACCUACCAUGUAAACUUAAGUUACUCCUUAUAAUAGGAUAUAUCAGUGUAAAUUGCAUUCUGUAAAAUAUUAGACUUGCUGUGGAGCUGACACCAUGAAUAGUGACUGGCUAGCCUGUAUCUGACCUAACAUGGUAACAAAAGCAUUGCUACUUAUGCUCCAUGGUGUAACUCUGAGUUGUGAAAAGGGGCAUGUGUCAAGGGCCCGAGGUCUUACGAAAUAAAAUUCCUCCAGUUGUUCAAAAAGUCUUCAUGAUGUGAAAAGGGGCAUAUGUCCUUAUUGUCAAUUACCGUGUGGUUUUUUCUUAAACCAGCCACUUCAGUGGCUUGGUCUUAAGGUUUCAACAUAUGUGUAAUUUAAGUUAGCCCUAGUUAAGUGCCACCGGUAGUUGCCUAGUUAUGUAUGUUUCUCUCCUCAAACCGGAGAAAGCAGGAUGCCCAGAACAUUGCUCGGGUAAAUGCUGAAAUGUCAUUGAUUAAUUAUCAACAAGUGCUAGUGUCCUAUGAAACAUUGUGUAGGUCGCAAAUGUAUCGUUAGUUUGUCAGUCCUGAUAGUUGAUUGGGAAUCAGCCUAUAAGCAGUCUGAUGCCAUUUUGGAACCUUGGCCGUACAUACUGCUAGACACUAUUAUUAGUUGGUCCCAGUUUGGGAAUCAACAAGUGCGAUCUUGUCAAAUGCAGUGGCGGUCCCAGUUUGAGGUAAACCACCCGAGUGUAUUAUGAUCUAUGUAAACUUAUCAUUACCAAAAAAAAA